Molecule: ribosomal RNA, 301 nt
Filed under: uncultured bacterium
Lineage: Bacteria
Description: partial 16S ribosomal RNA
Rfam family: Bacterial small subunit ribosomal RNA
Source: RNAcentral
CAGCCGCCGCGGUAAUACGUAGGUGGCAAGCGUUGUCCGGAAUUAUUGGGCGUAAAGGGCUCGCAGGCGGUUUCUUAAGUCUGAUGUGAAAGCCCCCGGCUCAACCGGGGAGGGUCAUUGGAAACUGGGAAAUUUGAGUGCAGAAGAGGAGAGUGGAAUUCCACGUGUAGCGGUGAAAUGCGUAGAGAUGUGGAGGAACACCAGUGGCGAAGGCGACUCUCUGGUCUGUAACUGACGCUGAGGAGCGAAAGCGUGGGGAGCGAACAGGAUUAGAUACCCGCGUAGUCCCUGUCUCUUAUAC